RNAcentral lists this ribosomal RNA (253 nucleotides) under uncultured bacterium. RNAcentral describes it as "partial 16S ribosomal RNA". It matches the Rfam family "Bacterial small subunit ribosomal RNA", at positions 524 to 776 of the family's 1533-position model. The record is from RNAcentral.
UACGUAGGCAGCAAGCGUUGUUCGGAGUUACUGGGCGUAAAGGGUGCGUAGGCGGGUCUUUAAGUCAGGGGUGAAAUCCUGGAGCUCAACUCCAGAACUGCCUUUGAUACUGAAGAUCUUGAGUUCGGGAGAGGUGAGUGGAACUGCGAGUGUAGAGGUGAAAUUCGUAGAUAUUCGCAAGAACACCAGUGGCGAAGGCGGCUCACUGGCCCGAUACUGACGCUGAGGCACGAAAGCGUGGGGAGCAAACAGG